UUAUUUGGAAAUUUAAGUGACCAGACUGGAGGUAAGGUCCCUGGUCGAGCAUUGCUCUCGGGGCGCCAGUCUUAUUGGAUUAAGAGAGCCAAAUGGCUACUAGAUUUCUUAUUUGGAUAUUUAAGUGACCAGACUGGAAGUAAGGUCCCUGGUCGAGCUUUGCUCUCGGGGCGCCAGUCUUAUUGGAUAAGAGAGCCAAAAGGCUAAGGCUGAGAGUUAAGUGACCGGACUGGAGGUAAGGUCCCUGGUCGAGCUUUGCUCUCUGGGCGCCAGUCCUGUUGGAAUGAGAGGUUUGAGAUGAUAGAGUUGAGGUUAGUUGAGACAUGAGUGUUGAAAUAAUCGAGAUUUUAGAGUUGGGAUUAGAGUUCUACUGAAGUACUCUGUCCCGUUGCAUGUGGAAUAAAUUUUGUUUAAGCAUGGCAUGACACAUAU
This 432-nucleotide long non-coding RNA is filed under the name Ricinus communis (castor bean). RNAcentral's name for it is "long non-coding RNA (RCOM_LNC001205)". Lineage: Eukaryota; Viridiplantae; Streptophyta; Magnoliopsida; Malpighiales; Euphorbiaceae. The record is from RNAcentral.